Molecule: long non-coding RNA, 573 nt
Organism: Phasianus colchicus (ring-necked pheasant)
Lineage: Eukaryota; Metazoa; Chordata; Aves; Galliformes; Phasianidae
Source: RefSeq, a predicted model, not a curated record
UUUAUUUUUAAAUCUCCCCGCUCUCAUCGUAGCUGGAUUGAUGAUUUCUGUGUUUCUCCUUUUAGGAGGUUGACUAGGAUAAGCUGCCAGCCGAAUUUCUCUUUUAUUUUAUUCCAAGUUUUAAUUUAAGACAGGAGAAGUGUGGCGAAGCUUCUUAUUCUGUGUAAUCAUUUCUUGGCACAAAGCAGGGCACUAAUGACCCUACUGGGUCGCAUAGCUCCAAAGGGCAGGGCAUGGGUUGGUGGCAGUGGUGGCAGUGGUGAGCCAUGGCCUGGCCAGUGACAGCCACAACCCAACAGCUGACUGUAAUUCUUCUGUGUGACACAGUCACAGCCUGGCCCACGCCCGGGUUCUGCGCUUGGACACGGAAAUCUGUUGGCAGUGAAACAGGUUCUGAUCACUGAAUCGCUAAAGCCAUGGAAAUCUCCACUGUGUCCCUCAGGCUUGAUUCCAUGAUUUUGAGGCAUGAAGCGUCAUAGAAGCUAUGGAGGAAUGCAGGAAGCCCUGGGACACGGGAUGCUCCCAGCAGUGCCACGGCCAUGGAUACCCGAGCUGCAGGAUUGGACCUGGGCC